This 449-nucleotide ribosomal RNA is filed under the name uncultured bacterium. RNAcentral describes it as "bacterial SSU rRNA". It matches the Rfam family "Bacterial small subunit ribosomal RNA", at positions 355 to 796 of the family's 1533-position model. The record is from RNAcentral.
UGGGGAAUAUUGGACAAUGGGGGAAACCCUGAUCCAGCAAUGCCGCGUGUGUGAAGAAGGCCUUCGGGUUGUAAAGCACUUUAGGCGGGGAAGAAGAUGUGGAGUUUAAGAGAUACUACAUUUGACGGUACCCGCAGAAUAAGCACCGGCUAACUCUGUGCCAGCAGCCGCGGUAAUACAGAGGGUGCAAGCGUUAAUCGGAAUUACUGGGCGUAAAGGGCGCGUAGGUGGUUACGUAAGUGAGAUGUGAAAGCCCCGGGCUUAACCUGGGAAUGGCAUCUUAUACUGUGUAGCUGGAGUGCAAUAGAGGGUAGUGGAAUUUCCGGUGUAGCGGUGAAAUGCGUAGAUAUCGGAAGGAACACCAGUGGCGAAGGCGGCUACCUGGAUUGACACUGACACUGAGGCGCGAAAGCGUGGGGAGCAAACAGGAUUAGAUACCCGCGUAGUCC